This 681-nucleotide ribosomal RNA is filed under the name uncultured bacterium. RNAcentral's name for it is "bacterial SSU rRNA". It matches the Rfam family "Bacterial small subunit ribosomal RNA", at positions 8 to 694 of the family's 1533-position model. The record is from RNAcentral.
AGAGUUUGAUCCUGGCUCAGGACGAACGCUGGCGGCGUGCUUAACACAUGCAAGUCGAACGGUAAGGCCCUUCGGGGUACACGAGUGGCGAACGGGUGAGUAACACGUGGGUAAUCUGCCCUGCACAUCGGGAUAAGCCUGGGAAACUGGGUCUAAUACCGAAUAGGACCACAGGACACAUGUCCUGUGGUGGAAAGCUUUUGCGGUGUGGGAUGGGCCCGCGGCCUAUCAGCUUGUUGGUGGGGUGAUGGCCUACCAAGGCGACGACGGGUAGCCGGCCUGAGAGGGUGUCCGGCCACACUGGGACUGAGAUACGGCCCAGACUCCUACGGGAGGCAGCAGUGGGGAAUAUUGCACAAUGGGCGAAAGCCUGAUGCAGCGACGUCGCGUGGGGGAUGACGGCCUUCGGGUUGUAAACCUCUUUCACCAUCGACGAAGGUCCGGGUUUUCUCGGGCUGACGGUAGGUGGAGAAGAAGCACCGGCCAACUACGUGCCAGCAGCCGCGGUAAUACAGAGGGUGCAAGCGUUAAUCGGAAUUACUGGGCGUAAAGAGCUCGUAGGUGGUUUGUCGCGUUGUUCGUGAAAACUCACAGCUUAACUGUGGGCGUGCGGGCGAUACGGGCAGACUUGAGUACUGCAGGGGAGACUGGAAUUCCUGGUGUAGCGGUGAAAUGCGUAGA